RNAcentral lists this ribosomal RNA (418 nucleotides) under uncultured bacterium. RNAcentral describes it as "bacterial SSU rRNA". It matches the Rfam family "Bacterial small subunit ribosomal RNA", at positions 357 to 772 of the family's 1533-position model. The record is from RNAcentral.
AGGAAUAUUGGUCAAUGGGCGCGAGCCUGAACCAGCCAAGUCGCGUGAGGGAUGACGGCCCUACGGGUUGUAAACCUCUUUUGUCGGGGAGCAAAUUCCGCCACGUGUGGCGGAGUCGAGAGUACCCGAAGAAAAAGCAUCGGCUAACUCCGUGCCAUCAGCCGCGGUAAUACGGAGGAUGCGGGCCUUAUCCGGAUUUAUUGGGUUUAAAGGGUGCGUAGGCGGACUGUCAAGUAAGCGGUAAAAUACGGGGGCUCAACCUCCGCCCGCCGUUGAAACUGACGGUCUUGAGUGGGCGAGAAGUAUGCGGAAUGCGUGGUGUAGCGGUGAAAUGCAUAGAUAUCACGCAGAACCCCGAUUGCGAAGGCAGCAUACCGGCGCCCUACUGACGCUGAGGCACGAAAGUGCGGGGAUCAAA